AGGUAAGCUACUAAGAGCGAAUGGUGGAUGCCUUGACUGGUAAAGGCGAUGAAGGACGUACUAGACUGCGAUAAGCUACGGGGAGCUGUCAAGAAGCUUUGAUCCGUAGAUUUCCGAAUGGGGCAACCCAAUGUAUAGAGAUAUACAUUACCUAUAUAGGAGCGAACGAGGGGAAUUGAAACAUCUUAGUACCCUCAGGAAAAGAAAUCAAUAGAGAUUGCGUCAGUAGCGGCGAGCGAAAGCGCAAGAGGGCAAACCCAGUGCUUGCACUGGGGGUUGUAGGACUGCAAUGUGCAAGAGGUAAGUUUAGCAGAACAUUCUGGAAAGUAUAGCCAUAGAGGGUGAUAGUCCCGUAUGCGAAAAACAAACCUUAGCUAGCAGUAUCCUGAGUAGGGCGGGACACGAGGAAUCCUGUCUGAAUCCGGGUCGACCACGAUCCAACCCUAAAUACUAAUACCAGAUCGAUAGUGCACAAGUACCGUGAGGGAAAGGUGAAAAGAACUGAGGUGAUCAGAGUGAAAUAGAACCUGAAACCAUUUGCUUACAAUCAUUCAGAGCCCUAUGUAGCAAUACAGGGUGAUGGACUGCCUUUUGCAUAAUGAGCCUGCGAGUUGUGGUGUCUGGCAAGGUUAAGCAAACGCGAAGCCGUAGCGAAAGCGAGUCUGAAUAGGGCGCUUAGUCAGAUGCUGCAGACCCGAAACGAAGUGAUCUAUCCAUGAGCAAGUUGAAGCUAGUGUAAGAACUAGUGGAGGACUGAACCCAUAGGCGUUGAAAAGCCCCGGGAUGACUUGUGGAUAGGGGUGAAAGGCCAAUCAAACUUCGUGAUAGCUGGUUCUCUCCGAAAUAUAUUUAGGUAUAGCGUUGUGUCGUAAUAUAAGGGGGUAGAGCACUGAAUGGGCUAGGGCAUACACCAAUGUACCAAACCCUAUCAAACUCCGAAUACCUUAUAUGUAAUCACAGCAGUCAGGCGGCGAGUGAUAAAAUCCGUCGUCAAGAGGGAAACAACCCAGACUACCAGCUAAGGUCCCUAAGUCUUACUUAAGUGGAAAACGAUGUGAAGUUACUUAAACAACCAGGAGGUUGGCUUAGAAGCAGCCAUCCUUUAAAGAAAGCGUAAUAGCUCACUGGUCUAGUGAUUUUGCGCGGAAAAUAUAACGGGGCUAAAGUAAGUACCGAAGCUGUAGACUUAGUUUACUAAGUGGUAGGAGAGCGUUCUAUUUGCGUCGAAGGUAUACCGGUAAGGAGUGCUGGAGCGAAUAGAAGUGAGCAUGCAGGCAUGAGUAGCGAUAAUUAAUGUGAGAAUCAUUAACGCCGUAAACCCAAGGUUUCCUACGCGAUGCUCGUCAUCGUAGGGUUAGUCGGGUCCUAAGUCGAGUCCGAAAGGGGUAGACGAUGGCAAAUUGGUUAAUAUUCCAAUACCAACAUUAGUGUGCGAUGGAAGGACGCUUAGGGCUAAGGGGGCUAGCGGAUGGAAGUGCUAGUCUAAGGUCGUAGGAGGUUAUACAGGCAAAUCCGUAUAACAAUACUCCGAGAACUGAAAGGCUUUUUGAAGUCUUCGGAUGGAUAGAAGAACCCCUGAUGCCGUCGAGCCAAGAAAAGUUUCUAAGUUUAGCUAAUGUUGCCCGUACCGUAAACCGACACAGGUGGGUGGGAUGAGUAUUCUAAGGCGCGUGGAAGAACUCUCUUUAAGGAACUCUGCAAAAUAGCACCGUAUCUUCGGUAUAAGGUGUGGUUAGCUUCGUACUAGGAUUUACUCCGAAAGCGAAGAAACUUACAACAAAGAGUCCCUCCCGACUGUUUACCAAAAACACAGCACUCUGCUAACUCGUAAGAGGAUGUAUAGGGUGUGACGCCUGCCCGGUGCUCGAAGGUUAAUUGAUGGGGUUAGCAUUAGCGAAGCUCUUGAUCGAAGCCCGAGUAAACGGCGGCCGUAACUAUAACGGUCCUAAGGUAGCGAAAUUCCUUGUCGGUUAAAUACCGACCUGCAUGAAUGGCGUAACGAGAUGGGAGCUGUCUCAAAGAGGGAUCCAGUGAAAUUGUAGUGGAGGUGAAAAUUCCUCCUACCCGCGGCAAGACGGAAAGACCCCGUGGACCUUUACUACAGCUUGACACUGCUACUUGGAUAAGAAUGUGCAGGAUAGGUGGGAGGCUUUGAGUAUAUGACGCCAGUUGUAUAUGAGCCAUUGUUGAGAUACCACUCUUUCUUAUUUGGGUAGCUAACCAGCUUGA
Molecule: ribosomal RNA, 2229 nt
Filed under: Campylobacter jejuni
Lineage: Bacteria; Pseudomonadati; Campylobacterota; Epsilonproteobacteria; Campylobacterales; Campylobacteraceae
Description: partial 23S ribosomal RNA
Rfam family: Bacterial large subunit ribosomal RNA
Source: RNAcentral